Molecule: ribosomal RNA, 250 nt
Filed under: uncultured bacterium
Lineage: Bacteria
Description: partial 16S ribosomal RNA
Rfam family: Bacterial small subunit ribosomal RNA
Source: RNAcentral
GACGGAGGGGGCUAGCGUUGUUCGGAAUUACUGGGCGUAAAGCGCGCGUAGGCGGCAUAGCAAGUUGGGGGUGAAAGCCCGGGGCUCAACUCCGGAACUGCCUUCAAAACUGCUAAGCUAGAGUUCGGAAGAGGAGAGUGGAAUACCCAGUGUAGAGGUGGAAUUCGUAGAUAUUGGGUAGAACACCAGUGGCGAAGGCGACUCUCUGGUCCGAUACUGACGCUGAGGUGCGAAAGCGUGGGGAGCAAAC